ACCUAAGGAGAUGAUGAGAGAAUCUCUGCUUGAGCUUGUUCAGGAAUCUGAGGAGAUGAUGAAACCUCCCCUUCAGCUGGUUCAUGCAUCAGAGAGGACUGAUUUGUGAAAGUUUGAGACACCUCUUUAGUAGGGUCAUCAGAUGAUAACAAGUCUAGAACAUGAAAUAUAGGAGUACUUGCAGACUUCAGAUGUUUGAAAGGAAAAACAUCCUCUUUGAACACCACAUUUCUUCUUACUAAGAGGAUCUUGUUCUGAAGAUCAUAUAGUUUGUAUCCCUUUUGGGUGGAAGAGUAGACCACACGUACUGCUGGGAUGGCUCUGGAGGCAAAGUUAUCCAUAUAUUUAGGGACAGGUGCAUAGAACAGGCAUCCAAAUACCCUCAGGUUACUGAGAGAAGAAGCAUGCAAAUAAAGCAUCUCAAAUGAAGAUUUGAAGUUGAUGACUCUUGAUGGUAGCCUAUUCAGAAGAUUGACAACAGUGUUGACACAAUCACCUCAAAAUUUUGAGAGGAAUACCUGCUUAGAACCUUAAUGCUCUGGCUAUUUUAAAGAUAGUUCUAUGUUUUCUUUCUGCUACUCCAUUCAGCUGUGGAGUAUAAAUAAAUAUACUUUGAUGUUCCACUCCAAGAGUAUAUAGGAAUUCCUUAAAGUCAGUGCUAAAGAACUCAUACCAUUAUCUGUUCUGGGUAUCUUAAUAGAAGCACUGAACAUAUUUUUGACUUUAGCAAAGAAUUCCUUAAGUACUACUACAGUGUCAGACUUUGAAUGCAAGAGAAAAAUCCAGGGUAAAUCUAGUGUGUUCAUCCACAAUUGCAAUAAAUAAAUCUUUUGCCGUCAUAUAUGGGAACUCUGUAGAGACCGUAAAUAUCACAAUGUAGUAAAUCAAAAGCAUAAGUAGAUAGUAUUAAUCAGGUGAAAGGGCAAUUUUGUUUGUUUUGCAAGUGGACAUACUGUACAAUGUUGAUGAGAAUUAGAUUUCAAGUGUAUAAGCAACUUUUGUUUCUUUAUUACUUCUAAUGAAUCGUGCCCUAACCUUUUAUGCCACAAGCUACUAGAAUUUGAUACAACUGACAUGUGGGAGUAGCUAGUCUUAUUAAGAGAACUUGUGUUAUUCACUUGUUCUUUGGAGUCUUGACAUGGCUUUCACUUUAUUCUCCUAUAACACAUAUAGUCCAUAUUUUUCCCUACCAAUCCCCUUCACAUGUCCAUUGAAGAGAUCUUGGAAUAUGUAGAAUUCAGGAAAGAACAAUACUAAGCAUUUUAGUUCUUUAGUGAGUUUGGAUACUGAGAGAAGAUUGAACUUAAAUAUACAACACAUUAUGUAUGUCUUGGUUUUUAAGCAUAGUAGCCAAUUAUGUAUGUGUAACUAAUGCUACCCCUCUUGUAGGUAAAUGCACAUUAUCCCUGUCUGAUUUUUGUAUUAAUUUGUAUGCCCUAAAUAUUUGUAAGCUAGAGGUCAUGUGAUUAGAAGCACCGGUAUCCACAAUCCAUUCUCUAUCACUAUAGACAGACACAUGAUCUGUUUCUGUACCUGCAAAUGCUGACGUAGUUGAGGGUCCUUCAUCUGAUCCCUUGCUGAGCAUUUGAAUGAUCUGCAGAUACUAUUCUGGUGUGAAGAAAGUUGAGGGAGCUUGUUGUUGACCUGCUGGUAAUGCCAUAGAAGUGAAUCCUCCCUUGAUAGAUGGGGGUUUCCCAAGUUUGCUAGUGUUGUUGACAUGACCAUUUGCUCCACAUGUUACAUCUCGUGUAAAAGGUGUCAUCCAGCCAGCUUGAUUUGCAUAGGAGUUACCAGUUCUAGUUACUCCUCCUCUCCUUUUAGACUUGAGGUAUGGUGGAUAUCCAACUAGUUUAUAGCAGUUUUCCUUAGUAUGACCCUUCAGAUGACAGUACUCACACACAUGUAUAUUUCUUUUGGUCCAGGUUUGAAGUUAGAACAAGCAUAGUUUCUCCCUUAUUACUAAACAAUGCAGUGCUUUCUAUCACCUUAGUGACCAGUGAGGUUUGUAUGAAAUUAGCUAUGUUCCUUUGGCUCUCUUGAUCUAUGAUUAUUGAACAUGACUUGAUCACAAUUGGAGUAGGGUACAUCAUUGUGAUCUGACUUCUUUCUUGGCUAUAAGACUCAUUCAAACUAGUUAAAAACUACAUUUACCUUUGAUACUAAAAGUGCUCGAGAUAUUCCCUCGAUUCAGGACAUGUGCUACUAGGACAUGGAAUUAUAGCAUCAAACUCAUCCCAAAUGUCCCCGAGUUUAGAAAAAUAGUCUGUUUCAGUCAUUGUGCCUUGAGUGAGUGAGCGAAUUUCUUUAUACAAGUAUUACACCCUAUCACCAUUCACUUUUAUCAAACCUUUCUUUCAAAUCCUCCUUUAUCUUGUGAGCAUUUGAGGCAUACACCACACUGCUUAAUAGUCCUAGUCUUACAUCAUUCAUGAUCUAAGACAAAACUACAAUGUUUACCUUUUCCCAUUGAUCAUGUAACUAAGGUUGAAACGUAGACUUAGGAAAUCUACCAUAAAAAAGGUCUAGUUUACUUUAACAUAACAGUCAAAUCCUCAUAGAUCUGCUCUAAAUAGCAUAGUUUUCAGACUCAGUUAACUGAAGAGAGAUUAAGAUACUACCUGGAGUAUUAGUUGGUUGUAGGUAUAUAGGAUGGUUAUGAUCAAUUGUAGGGAAGAUAUUGCCUCGAAUGGGAGCAGUUGUCUCGUCAGAAGUUCAUGUGGUUAGUCCAAGUGCUCUUAUUUGCAACAAAUUAGCUCAGAUCUCAAAACACUAGUUUGCGCUAGGGAGAUGAUUCAAUGCUGAAAUUGAAGAGAAUUGAAGAAAUUCAGUGACCAGAGAUUCACAACACCGACUCUGAUACCAUGAUAACAUCCAUAGCGGGAAGCUUCAACAUCGAGGAUGUUUGAGGAAGAAGAUGAGAGGAAUUUCUGGGAGAGAAUUCGAGAGAGGAAAUGAAGGUUUCCAUUAUCUUCUUCUAAGAAUAAGUUGUAUCUUUACAAAGACUAUAUAUAGAAAAACACAACUAAGAACUAACCGACUACCUACAGUAAUAACUGUCUAACUAACUUCACUAACUCUACAAAUAAUACAACUUAAUGUACAAUCUUCUAAAUCCACAGCUUGUAUUGGCUCACUACUCUUCUACACAUUAAUUAAAGUUAAUCUAUUGAUAAAAGUGGUAGGAUCAACAAUUAUUCAACAUUCAUGACCUGGCCAAUGGCUACUUCCCGUUCAAGUAUAUAUUUAUCCCAAACGGAAAUCAACAUAAGUAUAUGAAAGUUAUUGGUUUCAUUUUAAAUAUCGUAUGUUAAUAUGCUUAAUAUUGUAUGUGCCUGUUGUUGAAACAUUUUCUAGAAGUAUGUGUACAAUCUUUUUCUAUACAUUCGAAGAGAUGUAUUCAAGUUUUGUAGAAUGCAAUAUCAAUUCAAGAUAAGGUACAUUAGUUAUUGAUAAUAGGUGAAUUUAACUAUAAUCAUGCCCUAAAUAAUCACCUUCUUAUAUAGUUUUGAUGAUGAAAGUGAUAACAAAAUGCUCUUAUUUGUGCUUUACAUGCUUUGCAGGUUGUAUAUGACCAAAGAAGGAUAUGGAGUACUUUUGGGAUCAAAAAGUGGAGAAAAAGAGACCAACUAUAGAUGUCCGUCUAGUGAACCACGCAAACAGCUCAAAAUCAGGCCUGAACAAUCAGAGAACUGGGUCUGCCGCGGUUCCACCGCGACCGCGGCAAAACCGCGAUGAAAGAGGGUUGUAGACAAAUUGACUGUCAUAAAGCAUGUUUGACCGCGGUUCUACCGCGAACGCAGCAGAACCACGACAGGAGGCGGUAAUUUCAGCGACUAAAGUGCAAACACGGGAUUGUUUAGCCCAAAAUCCUAUUAAGCACUAGACUUCGCCCAAGAGAGACAUGUAUUGAUUUUUAGAGUUUCUUAGCAAGGAAAAUCAUUGUGACAGAUCACCGAAAACAUAUUUCUUUGAUUCUUAUUGCUAGUUUUUAUGAUGAAUAUUAUUUUAGCUUGUUUGCCCAUAGUCAUGAGUAGCUAAAUCCAUUGUCUAGGAUUUUGAUGGAACCUAUUGGGGGAUGAACUUCUUGUUUAUGUGAAUACAAAUUGCU
This 4108-nucleotide long non-coding RNA is filed under the name Nicotiana benthamiana. RNAcentral describes it as "long non-coding RNA (NBEN_LNC022079)". Lineage: Eukaryota; Viridiplantae; Streptophyta; Magnoliopsida; Solanales; Solanaceae. The record is from RNAcentral.